This 292-nucleotide ribosomal RNA is filed under the name uncultured bacterium. Its description in RNAcentral is "partial 16S ribosomal RNA". It matches the Rfam family "Bacterial small subunit ribosomal RNA", at positions 505 to 796 of the family's 1533-position model. The record is from RNAcentral.
GUGUCAGCAGCCGCGGUAAUACAGAGGGUGCGAGCGUUGUCCGGAAUCACUGGGCGUAAAGGGCGCGUAGGCGGCUUCUUAAGCGCGCGGUGAAAGCGCGGGGCUCAACCCCGCGUCGGCCGUGCGGACUGGGAGGCUGGAGCACGUCAGAGGCAGGCGGAAUUCCGGGUGUAGCGGUGGAAUGCGUAGAGAUCCGGAAGAACACCGGUGGCGAAGGCGGCCUGCUGGGACGUGGCUGACGCUGAGGCGCGACAGCGUGGGGAGCAAACAGGAUUAGAUACCCUGGUAGUCC